RNAcentral lists this non-coding RNA (117 nucleotides) under Chlorocebus sabaeus (green monkey). The record is from Rfam by way of RNAcentral. Lineage: Eukaryota; Metazoa; Chordata; Mammalia; Primates; Cercopithecidae.
GCUGGGCGUGGUGGCUCACGCCUGUAAUCCCAGCACUUUGGGAGGCUGAGGCAGGUGGAUCACCUGAGGUCAGGAGUUCAAGACCAGCCUGGCCAACACAGUGAAACCCUGUCUCUA